This 357-nucleotide long non-coding RNA is filed under the name Numida meleagris (helmeted guineafowl). Its description in RNAcentral is "lncRNA (ENSNMEG00000001494.1)". The record is from RNAcentral. Lineage: Eukaryota; Metazoa; Chordata; Aves; Galliformes; Numididae.
UAGAUGGUUACUUCUGAAGCCACCUGAAGAGCUGGCGUUCUUAUCGCUUGCCUGUGAAAGCCUGAGACAGACAGACAGAUAAGGAGCCUAGACUUCUCCAGCUAAUACACAGAUUCCAAGUGCAUUUGUGAAAGCAGAAAAACCUCUGAAGAUUCUUCUAAGGACUCCUAACACAGCAAAGAAAUUUGCUCUUUUGCCACCUGAAGAAGGAGGAACAGAGAUGGUGAGAGUGCCUACGUGAUGAGACAUCUGGAAGUCCUUAUCAAGAAUGAAACACUUGAGCAACCCAUUUCCUUAGCACUUACCCAAAGGCCAGAGAUGCUGUCUGCAAUACUCUGCAGGAAGUCCCAAAGCUAA